RNAcentral lists this long non-coding RNA (296 nucleotides) under Lathyrus oleraceus (garden pea). RNAcentral describes it as "Pisum sativum (pea) long non-coding RNA (PSAT_LNC041636)". Lineage: Eukaryota; Viridiplantae; Streptophyta; Magnoliopsida; Fabales; Fabaceae. The record is from RNAcentral.
AAACAGCUUUUUCAUCUGCAUAAAUGAUUUGCUUGUUUAAAAUACAAAUGCUUUUCAUUAUCCAGAAUCAUUAUGCAGGGACUUCUAAACCCAUUGAACAUAAUGAUCCAGCGCCAUCUCCCAAUCUUGAAGUCUUUGUAUCUGAGGCAGAGGAAGAUGAUGUUGAAGGGGAUUCCUGAUGAGAUUACCCGCCUUCUUGAGCACGAGAGAAGCUCAUUCAGCUGUAUCACGAGAAUCAGCAAACCAGUCAAACUGGGGAUUACAAAAAAAAAAAAAAAAAAAAAAAAAAAAAAAAA